GUCUUAGUGGUGUAGUGGUAAGCACGCUCAACGCGUAUUCGACAGGUCCGUGGUUCGAAUCCCGGCGAAGGCA
This 73-nucleotide transfer RNA is filed under the name Stegodyphus mimosarum. It matches the Rfam family "tRNA". From Rfam's summary of the family: Transfer RNA (tRNA) molecules are approximately 80 nucleotides in length. Their secondary structure includes four short double-helical elements and three loops (D, anti-codon, and T loops). Lineage: Eukaryota; Metazoa; Arthropoda; Arachnida; Araneae; Eresidae. The record is from Rfam by way of RNAcentral.